This 587-nucleotide ribosomal RNA is filed under the name uncultured bacterium. RNAcentral describes it as "bacterial SSU rRNA". It matches the Rfam family "Bacterial small subunit ribosomal RNA", at positions 338 to 916 of the family's 1533-position model. The record is from RNAcentral.
CCUACGGGAGGCAGCAGUGGGGAAUAUUGGACAAUGGGCGCAAGCCUGAUCCAGCCAUACCGCGUGGGUGAAGAAGGCCUUCGGGUUGUAAAGCCCUUUUGUUGGGAAAGAAAAGCAGUCGGCUAAUACCCGGUUGUUCUGACGGUACCCAAAGAAUAAGCACCGGCUAACUUCGUGCCAGCAGCCGCGGUAAUACGAAGGGUGCAAGCGUUACUCGGAAUUACUGGGCGUAAAGCGUGCGUAGGUGGUUGUUUAAGUCUGUUGUGAAAGCCCUGGGCUCAACCUGGGAAUUGCAGUGGAUACUGGGCGACUAGAGUGUGGUAGAGGGUAGUGGAAUUCCCGGUGUAGCAGUGAAAUGCGUAGAGAUCGGGAGGAACAUCCAUGGCGAAGGCAGCUACCUGGACCAACACUGACACUGAGGCACGAAAGCGUGGGGAGCAAACAGGAUUAGAUACCCUGGUAGUCCACGCCCUAAACGAUGCGAACUGGAUGUUGGGUGCAAUUUGGCACGCAGUAUCGAAGCUAACGCGUUAAGUUCGCCGCCUGGGGAGUACGGUCGCAAGACUGAAACUCAAAGAAAUUGACGG